ACGCUAGCUACAGGCUUAACACAUGCAAGUCGAGGGGAAACGGCAUUGAGUGCUUGCACUCUUUGGACGUCGACCGGCGCACGGGUGAGUAACGCGUAUCCAACCUUCCCAUUACUGUGGGAUAACCUGCCGAAAGGCAGACUAAUACCGCAUAGUCUUCGAUGACGGCAUCAGAUUUGAAGUAAAGAUUUAUCGGUAAUGGAUGGGGAUGCGUCUGAUUAGCUUGUUGGCGGGGUAACGGCCCACCAAGGCAACGAUCAGUAGGGGUUCUGAGAGGAAGGUCCCCCACAUUGGAACUGAGACACGGUCCAAACUCCUGCGGGAGGCAGCAGUGAGGAAUAUUGGUCAAUGGACGGAAGUCUGAACCAGCCAAGUAGCGUGCAGGAUGACGGCCCUAUGGGUUGUAAACUGCUUUUGUAUGGGGAUAAAGUUAGGGACGUGUCCCUAUUUGCAGGUACCAUACGAAUAAGGACCGGCUAAUUCCGUGCCAGCAGCCGCGGUAAUACGGAAGGUCCAGGCGUUAUCCGGAUUUAUUGGGUUUAAAGGGAGCGUAGGCUGGAGAUUAAGUGUGUUGUGAAAUGUAGACGCUCAACGUCUGAAUUGCAGCGCAUACUGGUUUCCUUGAGUACGCACAACGUUGGCGGAAUUCGUCGUGUAGCGGUGAAAUGCUUAGAUAUGACGAAGAACUCCGAUUGCGAAGGCAGCUGACGGGAGCGCAACUGACGCUUAAGCUCGAAGGUGCGGGUAUCAAACAGGAUUAGAUACCCUGGUAGUCCGCACAGUAAACGAUGGAUGCCCGCUGUUGGUACCUGGUAUCAGCGGCUAAGCGAAAGCAUUAAGCAUCCCACCUGGGGAGUACGCCGGCAACGGUGAAACUCAAAGGAAUUGACGGGGGCCCGCACAAGC
This 906-nucleotide ribosomal RNA is filed under the name uncultured bacterium. Its description in RNAcentral is "bacterial SSU rRNA". It matches the Rfam family "Bacterial small subunit ribosomal RNA", at positions 33 to 930 of the family's 1533-position model. The record is from RNAcentral.